RNAcentral lists this unclassified non-coding RNA (237 nucleotides) under uncultured Borrelia sp. RNAcentral describes it as "partial 5S-23S ribosomal RNA intergenic spacer". Lineage: Bacteria; Pseudomonadati; Spirochaetota; Spirochaetia; Spirochaetales; Borreliaceae. The record is from RNAcentral.
GAGUUCGCGGGAGAGUAAGUUAUUGCCAGGGUUUUUAUUUUAUACUUUAAACCUUGAAUUUAUUUUUUAAAUGUUUAUAUUAUUUGAAUAAAACAUUCAAAUAAUAUAAAAAAUAAUAUAUAUAUUGACAUGGAUUAAACAAAGAUAUAUAUUAUUUUAUGUUGUAUAAACAACUUGGCAAAAUAGAGAUGGAAGAUAAAAAUAUGGUCAAAGUAAUAAGAGUCUAUGGUGAAUGCC